ACGCUGAACGCUAGACGGCGUGCCUUAAGCAUGCAAGUCGAACGAGUCGCAAGACUAGUGGCGGACGGGUGAGUAAUGCGUAGGAAUCUACCCUAAAGUGGGGAAUAAGCUGCCGAAAGGUGGUCUAAUACCGCAUGUGACCGCAAGGUCAAAGCCUUUAACUGGGCGCUUUAGGAUGAGCUUACGUCCCAUCAGCUUGUUGGUAGGGUAAAAGCCUACCAAGGCUAUGACGGGUAGCUGGGCUGAGAGGUCGGCCAGCCACAAUGGCACUGAGACACGGGCCAUACAUCUACGGAUGGCAGCAACUGGGAAUCUUUGGCAAUGGACGAAAGUCUGACCAAGCAACGCCGCGUGAAGGACGAAGGCCUUCGGGUUGUAAACUUCUUUUGCCAAGUCGUCGAGGCUUGGAGAAUAAGCACCUGCUAACUACGUGCCAGCAGCCGCGGUGAUACGUAGGGUGCAAGCGUUACCCGGAUUUAUUGGGCGUAAAGCGUGCGCAGGCGGUAGGAUAAGUCACUAUUGAAAUUCCAGGGCUCAACCCUGGACCUGGUGGUGAUACUAUCCAACUAGAUUAUUUGAGGGGGUACCAGAACAGUUGGUGGAGCAGUGAAAUGCGUUGAGAUCAACUGGAAUACCAAAGGCGAAGGCAGGUACCUGGCAAAUCAAUGACGCUGUUGCACGAAAGCGUGGGGAGCAAAACGGAUUAGAUACCCGUGUAGUCCACGCUGUAAACGAUGGACACUAGAUAUCAGGCUGGUUGACGGCUUGGUGUCGUAAGCUAACGCGUUAAGUGUCCCGCCUGGCGAGUACGGUCGCAAGACUAAAAGUUAAAGGAAUUGACGGGGACCCGCACAAGUAGGGGAACGUGUGGUUUAAUUCGAGACAAAACGAAAAACCUCACCAGGGUUUGAAAUGUAUGUUUUAGGAUCCCGAAAGGGAAACAAACCGCAAGGUAGCAUACACAGGUGCUGCAUGGCUGUCGUCAGCUCGUGUCGUGAGAUGUCGCCUUAAGUGGCUCAACGAGCGCAACCCUCAUCAUUAGUUGUAUCACUCUAGUGAAACUGCCCCCGAUAAAGGGCCUUUCCGGCCAGACCGGAAGGACUUUUUAUCGGGGGAGGAAGGCGAGGACGACGUCAAGUCAUCAUAGCCCUUAUGUCCUGGGCUACACACACGUUACAAUGCGCAACACAACGGGCUGCAAAGUCGCGAGGCCUAGCUAAUCUCUUAAAGUUGCGCUCAGUUCAGAUUGGAGUCUGAAAUUCGACUCCAUGAAGAUGGACUUACUAG
This 1287-nucleotide ribosomal RNA is filed under the name uncultured bacterium. RNAcentral describes it as "bacterial SSU rRNA". It matches the Rfam family "Bacterial small subunit ribosomal RNA", at positions 26 to 1338 of the family's 1533-position model. The record is from RNAcentral.